This 278-nucleotide ribosomal RNA is filed under the name uncultured Lachnospiraceae bacterium. RNAcentral's name for it is "partial 16S ribosomal RNA". It matches the Rfam family "Bacterial small subunit ribosomal RNA", at positions 64 to 339 of the family's 1533-position model. The record is from RNAcentral. Lineage: Bacteria; Bacillati; Bacillota; Clostridia; Lachnospirales; Lachnospiraceae.
CGACGGAAUCCUUCGGGAGGAAGAUGUAUAGACUUAGUGGCGGACGGGUGAGUAACGCGUGGGUAACCUGCCUUGUACUGGGGGACAACAGUUGGAAACGACUGCUAAUACCGCAUAAGCGCACAGCUUCGCAUGAAGCAGUGUGAAAAACUCCGGUGGUACAAGAUGGACCCGCGUCUGAUUAGCUGGUUGGUGAGGUAACGGCCCACCAAGGCUGCGAUCGGUAGGGGUUCUGAGAGGAAGGCCCCACAAUGGGACUGAGACACGGCCCAUACUCC